UACGUAGGGUGCAAGCGUUAAUCGGAAUUACUGGGCGUAAAGCGUGCGCAGGCGGUUGUGCAAGACAGGUGUGAAAGCCCCGAGCUUAACUUGGGAAUUGCGCUUGUGACUGGCGUGCUGGAGUGUGGCAGAGGGAGGUGGAAUUCCACGUGUAGCAGUGAAAUGCGUAGAGAUGUGGAGGAACACCGAUGGCGAAGGCAGCCUCCUGGGCCAGCACUGACGCUCAUGCACGAAAGCGUGGGGAGCAAACAGG
RNAcentral lists this ribosomal RNA (253 nucleotides) under uncultured bacterium. RNAcentral describes it as "partial 16S ribosomal RNA". It matches the Rfam family "Bacterial small subunit ribosomal RNA", at positions 524 to 776 of the family's 1533-position model. The record is from RNAcentral.